Panicum virgatum (switchgrass) is the source of this 748-nucleotide long non-coding RNA. RefSeq lists it as uncharacterized. NCBI's taxonomy places the organism in Eukaryota, Viridiplantae, Streptophyta, Magnoliopsida, Poales, Poaceae. The record is from RefSeq and is a predicted model, not a curated record. The transcript has 2 exons.
GCAAGCUGGCAAAGACUGAGCCGCAGUGUUGGGCUAAGACUACGAUAGAUUGCUAAAGAUUCACGGGAACUGCCCUGCGGAACUAACCUCUGUGAUACUGCAACUUGAGGAGUCAACAGGAUCUAUUGCUGUUGACCAAAUCGGCCGCUCAAUUAUUCUGUAUAGGCCUAGCACUAGCAAGAUGAAAAAGAGGCAAGAGGUUGCUGAAAAUGCUAGGAGAUUUGCGAGAGCUAAAGAAGAAAUGCUAGGCGAUUUGUAAAAUCUGAAGAAUCAUUUGAAGAACGUCCUAGAAACAGCCCAGGCAGAAGAUUUGUUAAAUCUGGAUCCACAUUUAGCUCUCAGCAGAAGAGGAGACCAAUGGCAUCCAAGGGAUCGUCAUACAGCCGAGGGUAGCAGCAGCAUAAAAAGGUAUAUGGCUUGUUUUCUUGUUGUCUGGACUCUGGAGAGACCAUGUAAAUUUUAGACAAACUAGCUGGUAUAUGGAUGCUAGUGCUAAUUCUAGUCUUUGCCAGUAAGCUACGGUUCCAACUUCCAUGUCUCAUUCAUCAACCACAACAAAAUAGGGACAAGCUACUUUAUGCCCAGACUAAAAACAUGAGAUAACCUAAUUGAUCUACAUAUCUGACCUACUCGGACAAAUUGGUGUGUCAUCAUAUUUCUCUUCCAUCUGUCUCCUGGAUGUAUCCUUCAAAUCUGAGCACAGGAACAUGAUUUUUCUCCAUAUUUGAAUGUAUACUUAUUUCAUACA